CCGCAAUGGACGAAAGUCUGACGGAGCAACGCCGCGUGAGUGAUGAAGGCUUUCGGGUCGUAAAACUCUGUUGUUAGGGAAGAACAAGUACGAGAGUAACUGCUCGUACCUUGACGGUACCUAACCAGAAAGCCACGGCUAACUACGUGCCAGCAGCCGCGGUAAUACGUAGGUGGCAAGCGUUAUCCGGAAUUAUUCGGCGUAAAGCGCGCGCAGGCGGUUUCUUAAGUCUGAUGUGAAAGCCCACGGCUCAACCGUGGAGGGUCAUUGGAAACUGGGGAACUUGAGUGCAGAAGAGAAAAGCGGAAUUCCACGUGUAGCGGUGAAAUGCGUAGAGAUGUGGAGGAACACCAGUGGCGAAGGCGGCUUUUUGGUCUGUAACUGACGCUGAGGCGCGAAAGCGUGGGGAGCAAACAGGAUUAGAUACCCUGGUAGUCCACGCCGUAAACGAUGAGUGCUAAGUGUUAGAGGGUUUCCGCCCUUUAAUGCUGCAGCUAACGCAUUAAGCACUCCGCCUGGGGAGUACGGUCGCAAGACUGAAACUCAAAGG
This 550-nucleotide ribosomal RNA is filed under the name Priestia aryabhattai. RNAcentral describes it as "bacterial SSU rRNA". It matches the Rfam family "Bacterial small subunit ribosomal RNA", at positions 366 to 907 of the family's 1533-position model. Lineage: Bacteria; Bacillati; Bacillota; Bacilli; Caryophanales; Bacillaceae. The record is from RNAcentral.